Molecule: transfer RNA, 77 nt
Filed under: Achromobacter xylosoxidans
Lineage: Bacteria; Pseudomonadati; Pseudomonadota; Betaproteobacteria; Burkholderiales; Alcaligenaceae
Also listed under: 1 other name
Description: tRNA-Leu
Rfam family: tRNA
About the family: Transfer RNA (tRNA) molecules are approximately 80 nucleotides in length. Their secondary structure includes four short double-helical elements and three loops (D, anti-codon, and T loops).
Source: RNAcentral
GCCCCGAUGACGGAACUGGUAUACGUGCCGGCCUCAAAAGUCGGAUUCUGUGGGUUCGAGUCCCACUCGGGGUACCA